This 81-nucleotide microRNA precursor is filed under the name Heligmosomoides polygyrus. RNAcentral's name for it is "microRNA hpo-mir-10064 precursor". The record is from miRBase by way of RNAcentral. Lineage: Eukaryota; Metazoa; Nematoda; Chromadorea; Rhabditida; Heligmosomidae.
CUCGCCGCGUUAUGGAAGCUGUCAAUAUCGAUCGUGUGCGCCACGCAAUCGAUAUGGGUAGAUUUCAUAGCGCCGCGCCGC